GAUAAACGCUGGCGGCGUGCUUCAGGCAUGCAAGUCGAACGGACACUACGGUGUCAGUGGCGGACGGGUGAGUAACACGUAAGUAACCUGCCCAGAAGUGGGGAAUAACUAGCCGAAAGGCUGGCUAAUACCGCAUGUUAUGGCUCUUCCCUGGAGGGGUCAUUAAAGGAUUUAUUCGCUUCUGGAGGGGCUUGCGGCCGAUUAGCUAGUUGGUGGGGUAAUGGCCUACCAAGGCUUCGAUCGGUAGCUGGUCUGAGAGGACGGUCAGCCACACGGGGACUGAGAUACGGCCCCGACUCCUACGGGAGGCAGCAGCUAGGAAUCUUGGGAAUGGGCGAAAGCCUGACCCAGCAACGCCGCGUGGGCGAUGAAGGCCUUCGGGUUGUAAAGCCCUUUUGCAGGGGAAGAUGAUGACGGUACCCUGCGAAUAAGCCACGGCUAACUACGUGCCAGCAGCCGCAGUAAGAC
Molecule: ribosomal RNA, 468 nt
Filed under: uncultured bacterium
Lineage: Bacteria
Description: bacterial SSU rRNA
Rfam family: Bacterial small subunit ribosomal RNA
Source: RNAcentral